ACAGAUUUUACUGCCAGCUGCAACCUCCAUCAGCAUAUUUGUUCUGUGUGUUACUGGUGACUCCGGGCAUGAUUCAACUCAUACAGCUCAGGUGCCUUUAAACCUGAAAGGAAAUUACAACCACGUCCUGACACUCCAAACUGCGACUGAAUCUACUCCCAUAGAGCACAAAUGACAGCAUUUAAAAUCUGGGCUCGCUCAAGUUUGUCACCACACACCCAGUCACUGACCUGUUUCCUGACGUCACAGUCGUUUGCUCCACGGACACCCCGGAUCCCACACACAGGAACAGCAGCAAGAACCUCAGGGCAGCGUUUCGUUCCAUUGGGAAGGGAGGUAGUGGCUCCACACGCAGCACAUCUGCGGCUUUGGUCCAGCUCUGCCGCGUGAUGGGGGAGGAUCCACCACCGGAGAAAUCCUCCGUGUGCUGGGAUUUCUCCCCAAGGCAAACACCUGGCACGUUCCAGCUGCCCUGUGAAUGAAUGAGCACACAACCCGGGGAAAGUGCGCCGGGACUGAGCUGCUUGUUAAAAAAAAGAAUACAAUCAGAUGGGCUCUGAAAUCACACUGCAGAGCAUUCCUCAUCUGUACUUAACCCACGCCUCAGAGAAAGGGUAAGGUGCUGCCUACAAACAGCUCUGAAACUUCUUCUAUAUGAUAAUCAGAGGAAGAACUACAUGUAUUUUCAAGACUUACAAUACCUUAUAUUAGUAACCAUACAGAUGUGAAGGCAUAUAUUGCAAGCUUUGAAGUCAAACAUUUGGAAGCAAUUUUCUUUUCUUCA
Pipra filicauda (Wire-tailed manakin) is the source of this 784-nucleotide long non-coding RNA. RefSeq lists it as uncharacterized. The record is from RefSeq and is a predicted model, not a curated record. Lineage: Eukaryota; Metazoa; Chordata; Aves; Passeriformes; Pipridae. The transcript is spliced from 2 exons.